UUAAGCAUAUCACUAAGCGGAGGAAAAGAAACUAACCAGGAUUCCCUUAGUAACGGCGAGUGAACAGGGAAAAGCCCAGCACCGAAGCCUGUGGUCAUUUGGUCACUAGGCAAUGUGGUGUUCAGGUCGAAUUUUGGAAGUGCUGCUCCUCUCCAAGUCCGGCAAUGAGUACGGUAUUUUGGACACGGCCCACAGAGGGUGAAAGGCCCGUGGGGGAGGAGAUCAUGCUGGACAGUGCUUCCCUAAUCUGACCUUGGAGUCGGGUUGUUUGAGAAUGCAGCCCAAAGUGGGUGGUAAACUCCAUCCAAGGCUAAAUACAUACACGAGUCCGAUAGCGAACAAGUACCGUGAGGGAAAGUUGAAAAGUACUUUGAAGAGAGAGUAAACAGUGCGUGAAACCGCUCAGAGGUAAACGGGUGGAGUUGAACUGCGUGCUUUGAGGAUUCAGCUGGUGACUGUAUUAUGUCAUGGGCAUUUUGAUUGGACUGCGGGGUCUGCGUAGCAGCAGGUUGUUACCUUCGGGUAAUGAUGCGCGAUUCACUUAUCAAGUGAUGUGCGCCCUGUUUGUUCUUCGAAUCGGUUGCCAGUGCACUUUCUCAAAGCGUUCACCACGACCGACACUGCUGCCUGGCUGUUGGAGUUAAACCGCUUUGAUGUUAUCCUUGUGAUUUCGUCAAAUCGGGAUGGCAGGUAGCUCGUUGGCUUGCUUGUAGUUCGCUGCAGGUUUGCUUUCGAGUGUAAUCAGCUGACUUCAAUGGUUCUGUGCAGUGUGUUGGAGACAGCGGCUUGUGAUGUGUGCAUGUGUGGUUGUUUACUGGCGAUGUCGGGUUUGGUUGCUAUGUUGCUUGGUAAAUCAAGCCUAGUGAUAGCUCGAUAUCGUUCGGUGAGCUGCUGCGUGUGUGACAUCAAUACAGGGCCGAUAGUCUGUGGUGUUGUGGUAGACUAUCCACCUGACCCGUCUUGAAACACGGACCAAGGAGAGUAACAUGUGCGCGAGUCAUUGGGCGUAACGAAACCCAAAGGCGCAGUGAAAGUAAAGAUCUGGCUUGUCCAGGUUGAGGUGAGAUCUCGUCGUUUCUCAUACAUGGUGCCACCAAAUAAAGAGCGAUGAGCGCAUCACCGGCCCGUCCCAUGACGUAGACGGGAUCUUCUGAUCCACGCACCGUCGGGGCGGAGCAUGAGCGUACAUGUUGAGACCCGAA
This 1202-nucleotide ribosomal RNA is filed under the name Gerricola queenslandensis. Its description in RNAcentral is "partial large subunit ribosomal RNA". It matches the Rfam family "Eukaryotic large subunit ribosomal RNA", at positions 34 to 820 of the family's 3401-position model. Lineage: Eukaryota; Metazoa; Platyhelminthes; Trematoda; Plagiorchiida; Monorchiidae. The record is from RNAcentral.